RNAcentral lists this ribosomal RNA (1359 nucleotides) under uncultured bacterium. RNAcentral describes it as "bacterial SSU rRNA". It matches the Rfam family "Bacterial small subunit ribosomal RNA", at positions 28 to 1381 of the family's 1533-position model. The record is from RNAcentral.
GAUGAACGCUAGCUACAGGCUUAACACAUGCAAGUCGAGGGGCAGCAUUUCAGUUUGCUUGCAAACUGGAGAUGGCGACCGGCGCACGGGUGAGUAACACGUAUCCAACCUGCCGAUAACUCGGGGAUAGCCUUUCGAAAGAAAGAUUAAUACCCGAUGGCAUAAUUAGACCGCAUGGUCUUAUUAUUAAAGAAUUUCGGUUAUCGAUGGGGAUGCGUUCCAUUAGGCAGUUGGUGAGGUAACGGCUCACCAAACCUUCGAUGGAUAGGGGUUCUGAGAGGAAGGUCCCCCACAUUGGAACUGAGACACGGUCCAAACUCCUACGGGAGGCAGCAGUGAGGAAUAUUGGUCAAUGGGCGCAGGCCUGAACCAGCCAAGUAGCGUGAAGGAUGACUGCCCUAUGGGUUGUAAACUUCUUUUAUAUGGGAAUAAAGUUUUCCACGUGUGGAAUUUUGUAUGUACCAUAUGAAUAAGGAUCGGCUAACUCCGUGCCAGCAGCCGCGGUAAUACGGAGGAUCCGAGCGUUAUCCGGAUUUAUUGGGUUUAAAGGGAGCGUAGGUGGACAGUUAAGUCAGUUGUGAAAGUUUGCGGCUCAACCGUAAAAUUGCAGUUGAUACUGGCUGUCUUGAGUACAGUAGAGGUGGGCGGAAUUCGUGGUGUAGCGGUGAAAUGCUUAGAUAUCACGAAGAACUCCGAUUGCGAAGGCAGCUCACUGGACUGCAACUGACACUGAUGCUCGAAAGUGUGGGUAUCAAACAGGAUUAGAUACCCUGGUAGUCCACACAGUAAACGAUGAAUACUCGCUGUUUGCGAUAUACAGUAAGCGGCCAAGCGAAAGCAUUAAGUAUUCCACCUGGGGAGUACGCCGGCAACGGUGAAACUCAAAGGAAUUGACGGGGGCCCGCACAAGCGGAGGAACAUGUGGUUUAAUUCGAUGAUACGCGAGGAACCUUACCCGGGCUUAAAUUGCAUUUGAAUAUAUUGGAAACAGUAUAGCCGUAAGGCAAAUGUGAAGGUGCUGCAUGGUUGUCGUCAGCUCGUGCCGUGAGGUGUCGGCUUAAGUGCCAUAACGAGCGCAACCCUUAUCUUUAGUUACUAACAGGUCAUGCUGAGGACUCUAGAGAGACUGCCGUCGUAAGAUGUGAGGAAGGUGGGGAUGACGUCAAAUCAGCACGGCCCUUACGUCCGGGGCUACACACGUGUUACAAUGGGGGGUACAGAAGGCAGCUACCUGGUGACAGGAUGCUAAUCCCAAAAGCCUCUCUCAGUUCGGAUCGAAGUCUGCAACCCGACUUCGUGAAGCUGGAUUCGCUAGUAAUCGCGCAUCAGCCAUGGCGCGGCGAAUACGUUCCCGGGCCU